RNAcentral lists this long non-coding RNA (388 nucleotides) under Struthio camelus australis. RNAcentral's name for it is "lncRNA (ENSSCUG00000007069.1)". The record is from RNAcentral. Lineage: Eukaryota; Metazoa; Chordata; Aves; Struthioniformes; Struthionidae.
AUGAACAAUUUGGAUAUUUAUGCAAGAGACUGUUCUUUUGAGGUCUCCCUAAGAGAUAACCAAUUGGAUCUGGGGCAAACAAACAAAAAGAGUAAUCAGACUCCACUGACCUGUUUAACCCUGAAUGUGAAGGAUGAAAUGCAGCAACCGUUUUCUGUGGAACAGGGCUUCUGAUGGCACUUGCUUUUUUCCUUUUGGACUAUGUUGACUUAAAAACGAUCAAGAUAUUGAAUUGAUAAUGUGAAUUUGCACCCACCCGACUGUGUUCCAUCACUUUUUGUAGCAGGUAUGUCAUUUGAAUCAUUUUGCCUCAUUUUUCAGCAUAAAGUCAGAUGAAUUAUGGGUAUGGUAAAAUAAAAGGCAUAUUAUUAUGACCUCUAGAUAAGCU